This 307-nucleotide ribosomal RNA is filed under the name uncultured bacterium. RNAcentral describes it as "bacterial SSU rRNA". It matches the Rfam family "Bacterial small subunit ribosomal RNA", at positions 29 to 334 of the family's 1533-position model. The record is from RNAcentral.
AGCGAACGUUUGCGGCGGGCCUAACACAUGCAAGUCGAGCGAGAAGCCCUUCGGGGUGGAAAGUGGCGCACGGGUGCGUAACACGUGGAUAAUCAACCCUUUUGCCUGGGAUAACAUCGGGAAACCGUUGCUAAUACCGGAUAGUUCAAAGAGUUCAUCGGAGCUCAUUGGGAAAGACCCGCAAGGGUUACAAGAGGACGAGUCCGCGGCCCAUCAGCUAGUUGGUAAGGUAAAGGCUUACCAAGGCGAAGACGGGUAGCUGGUCUGAGAGGAUGAUCAGCCACACUGGAACUGAGACACGGUCCAG